This 460-nucleotide ribosomal RNA is filed under the name uncultured bacterium. RNAcentral describes it as "partial 16S ribosomal RNA". It matches the Rfam family "Bacterial small subunit ribosomal RNA", at positions 338 to 795 of the family's 1533-position model. The record is from RNAcentral.
CCUACGGGGGGCAGCAGUGAGGAAUAUUGGUCAAUGGGCUUAAGCCUGAACCAGCCAAGCCGCGUGAGGGAAGACUGCCCUAUGGGUUGUAAACCUCUUUUGUCAGGGAGCAACGCCGGCUACGUGUAGCCGGACUGAGAGUACCUGAAGAAAAAGCAUCGGCAAACUCCGUGCCAGCAGCCGCGGUAAUACGGGGAAUGCGAGCGUUAUCCGGAUUUAUUGGGGUUAAAGGGUGCGUAGGAGGAAUGCCAAGUCAGCGGUAAAAUCGCGGGGCUCAAUCUCGCUCCGCCGGUGAAACUGGCUGUCUUGAGGGGGCGAGAAGUAUGCGGAAUGCGUGGUGUAGCGGUGAAAUGCAUAGAUAUCACGCAGAACUCCGAUUGCGAAGGCAGCAUACCGGCGCCCAACUGACGCUGAGGCACGAAAGCGUGGGUAUCGAACAGGAUUAGAUACCCGUGUAGUC